This 822-nucleotide ribosomal RNA is filed under the name uncultured Actinomycetes bacterium. RNAcentral describes it as "bacterial SSU rRNA". It matches the Rfam family "Bacterial small subunit ribosomal RNA", at positions 62 to 896 of the family's 1533-position model. The record is from RNAcentral. Lineage: Bacteria; Bacillati; Actinomycetota; Actinomycetes.
UCGACGGAAAGGCCUGCAGCUUGCUGCGGGUACUCGAGUGGCGAACGGGUGAGUAACACGUGGGUGAUCUGCCUUGCACUUCGGGAUAAGCUUGGGAAACUGGGUCUAAUACCGGAUAGGACAGCUGUUUAGUGUCAGUUGUGGAAAGUUUUUUCGGUGCAAGAUGAGCUCGCGGCCUAUCAGCUUGUUGGUGGGGUAAUGGCCUACCAAGGCGUCGACGGGUAGCCGGCCUGAGAGGGUGUACGGCCACAUUGGGACUGAGAUACGGCCCAGACUCCUACGGGAGGCAGCAGUGGGGAAUAUUGCACAAUGGGCGGAAGCCUGAUGCAGCGACGCCGCGUGGGGGAUGAAGGCCUUCGGGUUGUAAACUCCUUUCGACAGGGACGAAGCGUAAGUGACGGUACCUGUAUAAGAAGCACCGGCUAACUACGUGCCAGCAGCCGCGGUAAUACGUAGGGUGCGAGCGUUGUCCGGAAUUACUGGGCGUAAAGAGCUCGUAGGUGGUUUGUCGCGUCGUCUGUGAAAUUCCGGGGCUUAACUCCGGGCGUGCAGGCGAUACGGGCUGACUUGAGUGCUGUAGGGGAGACUGGAAUUCCUGGUGUAGCGGUGAAAUGCGCAGAUAUCAGGAGGAACACCGAUGGCGAAGGCAGGUCUCUGGGCAGUAACUGACGCUGAGGAGCGAAAGCAUGGGUAGCGAACAGGAUUAGAUACCCUGGUAGUCCAUGCCGUAAACGGUGGGCGCUAGGUGUAGGGGGCUUCCACGUCUUCUGUGCCGUAGCUAACGCAUUAAGCGCCCCGCCUGGGGAGUACGCCGCAAGGCUA